RNAcentral lists this ribosomal RNA (487 nucleotides) under uncultured bacterium. Its description in RNAcentral is "bacterial SSU rRNA". It matches the Rfam family "Bacterial small subunit ribosomal RNA", at positions 29 to 511 of the family's 1533-position model. The record is from RNAcentral.
AAUGAACGCUGGCGGCGUGGAUUAGGCAUGCAAGUCGAACGCGAAAGUUCCCUUCGGGGAGCGAGUAGAGUGGCGAAAGGGUGAGUAAUGCUUGGAUGACCUGCCCUCGAGACGGGGACAACAGUUCGAAAGGACUGCUAAUACCCGAUAGUCCGGUUUAGAUGCGUCUAGAUCGGUAAAUGGUGCUUCCGCUCGAGGAGGGGUUCAAGUCCUAUCAGCUUGUUGGUGAGGUAACGGCUCACCAAGGCGAUGACGGGUAGCCGGACUGAGAGGUUGGCCGGCCACAUGGGAACUGAGACACUGUCCUGACUCCUACGGGAGGCUGCAGUCGAGAAUCUUCUGCAAUGGGCGAAAGCCUGACAGAGCGACGCCGCGUGGAGGAUGAAGGCCCUCGGGUCGUAAACUCCCGUCACAUGUUAUGAAACGCACAGGUCUACCUGUGCGCUGACAAAAGCAUGAGAGGAAGUCACGGCUAACUUCGUGCCAG